This 518-nucleotide ribosomal RNA is filed under the name Gennadas bouvieri. RNAcentral describes it as "partial large subunit ribosomal RNA". It matches the Rfam family "Bacterial large subunit ribosomal RNA", at positions 1829 to 2597 of the family's 2925-position model. The record is from RNAcentral. Lineage: Eukaryota; Metazoa; Arthropoda; Malacostraca; Decapoda; Benthesicymidae.
GUCUGUAUGAUUGCUAUAUAGAGUCUAGCCUGCCCACUGAUAUAAAUUGAAGGGCCGCGGUAUUCUGACCGUGCGAAGGUAGCAUAAUCAUUAGUCUUUUAAUUGAAGGCUCGUAUGAAUGGUUGGACAAAAAGUAAGCUGUCUCCUUUAUAAAAUUUGAAUCUAACUUUUAAGUGAAAAGGCUUAGAUAACCUGGGGGGACGAUAAGACCCUAUAAAGCUUUACAACAAAAUAAAUGUACUAUCAUUUAUAAUAGUUUAACUUAGUUCAUAUAAGAGUUGUUUCGUUGGGGCGACGAGAAUAUAAUGAAAUAACUGUUCUUUUAUAAAAAUGCAGCAAUAACUGCAGAAAGAUUGAUCCUUUACUAAAGAUUAAAAGAUUAAGUUACUUUAGGGAUAACAGCGUAAUCUUCUUUAAGAGUCCAGAUCGACAAGAAGGGUUGCGACCUCGAUGUUGAAUUAAGGGUUCCUCGUGGUGCAGCAGUUACGAAGGAAGGUCUGUUCGACCUUUAAAUCCUU